CAGCAAGUAGUUUAAUUAAAAUAUUAGUUUUGGGUACUGAUGAUGAGGCUUUCUUCUUGCUGA
Molecule: transfer RNA, 63 nt
Filed under: Cnizocoris sinensis
Lineage: Eukaryota; Metazoa; Arthropoda; Insecta; Hemiptera; Phymatidae
Description: tRNA-Pro
Source: RNAcentral